This 333-nucleotide non-coding RNA is filed under the name Staphylococcus aureus. It matches the Rfam family "S. aureus tsr24 small RNA". The record is from RNAcentral. Lineage: Bacteria; Bacillati; Bacillota; Bacilli; Caryophanales; Staphylococcaceae.
AAAUUUUUCUAUGACUAUAGAUUUUUUUCGUUUCUGGUUCAGAAAGCUUUUGAUUAAUUUGGGCUUUAAUGUAUUUCAAAGUAAAAUUACAUGUUAAUACGUAGUAUUAAUGGCGAGACUCCUGAGGGAGCAGUGCCAGUCGAAGACAGGGGCCCCAACACAGAAGCUGACAUAUAGUCAGCUUACAACAAUGUGCCGGUUGGGGUGGCUGAGACGGCACCCUAGGAAGGGACCCGUCAUCAAAAAUUCUAUUUAUAGAAUUUUACAGUAAUGUGCCAGACGGGCAAAGCGAAGCCAUUCAAUACGAAGUAUUGUAUAAAUAGAGAACAGCAG